Fragaria vesca subsp. vesca is the source of this 2504-nucleotide RNA transcript. RefSeq lists it as uncharacterized. Lineage: Eukaryota; Viridiplantae; Streptophyta; Magnoliopsida; Rosales; Rosaceae. The record is from RefSeq and is a predicted model, not a curated record. The transcript is spliced from 13 exons.
AUGAAUGCGGUGGGGAGACAGAUGGCGCGAUCCAAUUCGGCGAUGCAGCAACAGCGCCAGUACUCGGAGGCCUUCUUCGCCGACGCGUCGUCCAAGUGGCUCCAGUCCUCUGGCCUCUCGCAGGAUUUUGAGGUGUACGGGUCGAGAUUGAGCCGGAGAAGCGGGAAUGAUCGGUCGCCGGAGGCAUCGGUGACUGUGUCGCGGUCGUCGAGUAUGAGAAGGCUUGGGGAUGAUCCGGUUGAGUAUAGCCCUGGCUUGCUUGAUCUGCAUUCUUUUGAUACGGAGCUGUUACCUCAGGUUUGAAUUUCUAUCACUAUGCAUGUUCGUGGGAAGAGUUUCGAUGACUCUGAGCCGUUUGUCUCCAGCAACAAAGUUACAGGCAGAUCACGAGGUUUGCCUGAGAAUAAUCUUCUCAAGAGUGUGUCAGUAGAUAAAGAGAGGGCCAAUAAUGUUGCCAAGAUCAAAGUUGUGGUGCGCAAGAGGCCACUAAAUAAAAAGGAGAUGACAAAGAAAGAGGAAGACAUCAUUACGAUAGAACCAAAUUCUAAUGCUCUCACGGUUCAUGAAACAAAACUCAAGGUGGACUUAACAGCUUAUGAGGAGAAGCAUGAAUUUUUUUUUGAUGCUGUUCUGGAUGAAGAUGUCACGAAUGAUGAAGUAUACUUUGAAAGUGUGGAACCCAUAGUUCCGCUGAUCUUCCAACGAACAAAAGCAACUUGCUUUGCGUAUGGGCAAACAGGCAAUGGGAAGACUUAUACCAUGCAACCACUGCCCCUUAAAGCAUCCCAAGAUAUCUUAAGGCUAAUGCUUAAUUCCUACCGAAACCAAGGCUUUCAGUUAUUUGUGAGUUUCUUCGAGAUAUACGGAGGAAAACUUUUUGAUCUCCUAAAUGAUCGGAAGAAACUUUUCAUAAGGGAGGAUGGUAAACAGCAAGUAUGUAUUGUUGGCUUGCAAGAGUACAGGGUGUCAGAUGUUGAGACAGUCAAGGUGUUGAUUGAGAAAGGAAGUUCCACAAGAAGUACUGGCACAACUGGUGCAAAUGAAGAAUCUUCCCGAUCACAUGCGAUACUUCAGCUUUGUAUCAAGAGAUCAGCUGAUGGAAAUGAAUCAAAGCCUGCCAGACUUGUAGGAAAGCUAUCUUUCAUAGACCUUGCUGGAAGUGAACGCGGUGCAGAUACUACAGAUAAUGAUAAACAAACAAGAAUGGAAGGUGCUGAAAUUAAUAAAAGCUUACUUGCUUUAAAAGAAUGCAUCAGAGCUCUUGACAACGACCAAGGCCACAUUCCUUUCAGAGGGAGUAAACUGACCGAAGUUCUUAGAGAUUCAUUUGUUGGCGACUCGCGCACAGUUAUGAUAUCAUGCAUUUCACCAAGCUCAGGAUCAUGUGAACACACUCUUAACACACUAAGAUAUGCUGACAGGGUGAAGAGUUUGUCGAAAGGGAACAGCUCCAGAAAGCAACAACUACCUUCAUCUUCAAACCUUAGAGAGUCAACAACAUUGCCCUUGUCUUCAUUAACUGACACAACCUAUGAGGAUAACAAGCCUUCUGUUCCCCAAGAAAAGGGCAGCUUUGGUUGGUCCAAACAGGUUGACCGAGAACCGUCCCCCCAGUGUAAUGUGAAUCGCGUACCCAGUGGGAGGGCAGAAGUACGCUUGCCUGCAUCUGUAUAUUCAGAUUACUACAACGAUCAGAUAGGUGGUCAAAGUACCAUAGGCGAAGAUGAUUUUGACUGCUCUGAUCAGACUUAUGAGAAAGAGAAAGCAUCAUGGGUGAGUAGUAAGAAGGUACAAAGCUAUCAGACAUCAGCUGUGGAGGAAAAGAGAAAGACUGGCAGUCAGGUGAAAUGGAGGGAUCAGCCUGAUUCUGAGGCUAUCAACUCUAAUUCCGAUGAUGAUCUUAUUGCUGUGUUGCAGGAAGAGGAUGACCUUGUGACUGCACACCGAAGACAAGUAGAGCAGACAAUAGAUAUUGUUAGGGAGGAGAUGAAUUUGCUGGUCGAAGCUGAUCAACCAGGCAAUCGACUCGAUGAUUAUAUCUCCAAAUUGGAUGCCAUACUCUCUCAGAAGGCGGCAGGAAUUCUACAACUGCAGAAUCAGCUGGCUCAAUUCCAGAAGCAUCUAAACGAGCACAAUGUCUUGGUAUCAUCUACAAGUAAAUGAUAUAAGCUGGGAGAAAGAGAAGUCAGCAUUGGCACGAGGAUUUCCUGACGAAGUUGAUAUGAUGUUUCUUCGUUUUCCUUGCCUGAGUGUGCUUGUACAGAAAACUCCUCGUUAACUUAUGGAAACCACCUAUCUAAAAAGGCUUGUUUCAGGUAGAGGGCUAAAUCUUGUUUCUGUUUAACAUAUUUCAAAUCUUUUGAAGUGUAAGCUAUGAGCUAUGAGAAUGAUAUGUUCGCAUUUGUUCGUGUCCAUAUUUUGUAAACCUGUGUCUGUAAUUUUAUCGAGUAUGUGAAACAAUUGUUUGGGUUUAUCUAUGGUAUUUAUUUGUUCAACUAUCAAAA